Pelobates cultripes (western spadefoot toad) is the source of this 487-nucleotide non-coding RNA. Lineage: Eukaryota; Metazoa; Chordata; Amphibia; Anura; Pelobatidae. The record is from the annotation of a GenBank genome assembly.
CUGGUUUCCGCGCUAAGCACUCUGUGGAAACGGCACUGACCAAAGUAUCCAAUGAUCUACUCGCUGCAAAAUCUCAUGGUCACUACUCUAUCCUAAUUCUCCUUGACCUGUCUGCGGCUCUUGACACUGUUGAUCAUCAACAGCUUCUUCUCAUCCUCCGCAAUAUCGGUGUACAAGAUACUGCUCUCUCCUGGUGCUCCUCCUACCUCUCCCAGCGCUCUUUCAGUGUUUCUUUCUCUGGAUCGGCUUCUUCUCCCCAACUCCUCUCUGUUGGUGUCCCCCAAGGUUCAGUUCUUGGUUCCCUACUGUUCUCCAUCUAUACUGCCUCCCUUGGUAAACUCCUUAGCUCCUUUGGCUUCCAAUAUCAUUUCUAUGCAGAUGACACGCAAAUCUACCUGUCCUCUCCUGAUCUCUCCCCGUCCCUCUUGACUAGUGUCUCUGACUGCCUCUCUGCUGUUUCUAAUGGGAUGGCUGCCCACUUCCUUAA